CCCUUAGAUGUUCUGGGCCGCACGCGCGCUACACUGAUGCAUUCAACGAGUUUUUCCUGGUCCGAGAGGAAUGGGUAACCUUUUGAAAGUGCAUCGUGCUAGGGAUAGACUAUUGCAAUUAUUGGUCUUCAACGAGGAAUUCCUAGUAGACGUAGUUCAUCAGACUGCAUCGAUUACGUCCCUGCCCUUUGUACACACCGCCCGUCGCACCUACCGAUUGAAUGGUCCGGUGAAAUCUCGGGACGGCGGCUUGGUCGCUUGCGUCCGACUGCUGAAACUUGAUUAAACCAUAUCAUUUAGAGGAAGGUGAAGUCGUAACA
RNAcentral lists this ribosomal RNA (320 nucleotides) under uncultured eukaryote. Its description in RNAcentral is "partial 18S ribosomal RNA". It matches the Rfam family "Eukaryotic small subunit ribosomal RNA", at positions 1470 to 1796 of the family's 1831-position model. The record is from RNAcentral.